CCCCAUAAGGCUGAGCUGUGAUGGCGAGCGAAAUAUAGUAGCGAAGUUCCUGAUUCCACACUGCCAAGAAAAGCCUCUAGCGAGGUGAGAGGUGCCCGUACCGCAAACCGACACAGGUAGGCGAGGAGAGAAUCCUAAGGUGAUCGAGAGAACUCUCGUUAAGGAACUCGGCAAAAUGACCCCGUAACUUCGGGAGAAGGGGUGCUCUGUUAGGGUGCAAGCCCGAGAGAGCCGCAGUGAAUAGGCCCAGGCGACUGUUUAGCAAAAACACAGGUCUCUGCGAAGCCGUAAGGCGAAGUAUAGGGGCUGACGCCUGCCCGGUGCUGGAAGGUUAAGAGGAGCGCUUAGCGUAAGCGAAGGUGCGAAUUGAAGCCCCAGUAAACGGCGGCCGUAACCAUAACGGUCCUAAGGUAGCGAAAUUCCUUGUCGGGUAAGUUCCGACCCGCACGAAAGGCGCAACGAUCUGGGCACUGUCUCAACGAGAGACUCGGUGAAAUUAUAGUACCUGUGAAGAUGCAGGUUACCCGCGACAGGACGGAAAGACCCCGUGGAGCUUUACUGCAGCCUGAUAUUGAAUGUUGGUACAGCUUGUACAGGAUAGGUAGGAGCCUUGGAAACCGGAGCGCCAGCUUCGGUGGAGGCAUCGGUGGGAUACUACCCUGGCUGUAUUGACCUUCUAACCCGCCGCCCUUAUCGGGCGGGGAGACAGUGUCAGGUGGGCAGUUUGACUGGGGCGGUCGCCUCCUAAAAGGUAACGGAGGCGCCCAAAGGUUCCCUCAGAAUGGUUGGAAAUCAUUCGCAGAGUGUAAAGGCACAAGGGAGCUUGACUGCGAGACCUACAAGUCGAGCAGGGACGAAAGUCGGGCUUAGUGAUCCGGUGGUUCCGCAUGGAAGGGCCAUCGCUCAACGGAUAAAAGCUACCCCGGGGAUAACAGGCUUAUCUCCCCCAAGAGUCCACAUCGACGGGGAGGUUUGGCACCUCGAUGUCGGCUCAUCGCAUCCUGGGGCUGUAGUCGGUCCCAAGGGUUGGGCUGUUCGCCCAUUAAAGCGGUACGCGAGCUGGGUUCAGAACGUCGUGAGACAGUUCGGUCCCUAUCCGUCGCGGGCGCAGGAAAUUUGAGAGGAGCUGUCCUUAGUACGAGAGGACCGGGAUGGACGCACCGCUGGUGUACCAGUUGUUCUGCCAAGGGCAUCGCUGGGUAGCUAUGUGCGGACGGGAUAAGUGCUGAAAGCAUCUAAGCAUGAAGCCCCCCUCAAGAUGAGAUUUCCCAUUCCGCAAGGAAGUAAGAUCCCUGAAAGAUGAUCAGGUUGAUAGGUCUGAGGUGGAAGUGUGGCGACACAUGGAGCUGACAGAUACUAAUCGAUCGAGGACUUAACC
This 1378-nucleotide ribosomal RNA is filed under the name metagenome. RNAcentral describes it as "bacterial LSU rRNA". It matches the Rfam family "Bacterial large subunit ribosomal RNA", at positions 1546 to 2925 of the family's 2925-position model. The record is from RNAcentral.